CAGCACAGGUAGCAAUACCGGGUGGCGACCGGCGCACGGGUGAGUAACGCGUAUGCAACUUGCCUAUCAGAGGGGGAUAACCCGGCGAAAGUCGGACUAAUACCGCAUGAAGCAGGGGCCCCGCAUGGGGAUAUUUGCUAAAGAUUCAUCGCUGAUAGAUAGGCAUGCGUUCCAUUAGGCAGUUGGCGGGGUAACGGCCCACCAAACCGACGAUGGAUAGGGGUUCUGAGAGGAAGGUCCCCCACAUUGGUACUGAGACACGGACCAAACUCCUACGGGAGGCAGCAGUGAGGAAUAUUGGUCAAUGGGCGUAAGCCUGAACCAGCCAAGUCGCGUGAGGGAUGAAGGUUCUAUGGAUCGUAAACCUCUUUUAUAAGGGAAUAAAGUGCGGGACGUGUCCCGUUUUGUAUGUACCUUAUGAAUAAGGAUCGGCUAACUCCGUGCCAGCAGCCGCGGUAAUACGGAGGAUCCGAGCGUUAUCCGGAUUUAUUGGGUUUAAAGGGUGCGUAGGCGGCCUUUUAAGUCAGCGGUGAAAGUCUGUGGCUCAACCAUAGAAUUGCCGUUGAAACUGGGAGGCUUGAGUAUGUUUGAGGCAGGCGGAAUGCGUGGUGUAGCGGUGAAAUGCUUAGAUAUCACGCAGAACCCCGAUUGCGAAGGCAGCCUGCCAAGCCAUGACUGACGCUGAUGCACGAAAGCGUGGGGAUCAAACAGGAUUAGAUACCCUGGUAGUCCACGCAGUAAACGAUGAUCACUAGCUGUUUGCGAUACACAGUAA
Molecule: ribosomal RNA, 775 nt
Filed under: Parabacteroides distasonis
Lineage: Bacteria; Pseudomonadati; Bacteroidota; Bacteroidia; Bacteroidales; Tannerellaceae
Description: bacterial SSU rRNA
Rfam family: Bacterial small subunit ribosomal RNA
Source: RNAcentral